UUAAAGAUAGACUAAAUUUAAAGUCUAUAGAUUCAUAAUUUAUAAAUAAAUUAACAUUUUCUUUAAA
RNAcentral lists this transfer RNA (67 nucleotides) under Telenomus remus. RNAcentral's name for it is "tRNA-Met". The record is from RNAcentral. Lineage: Eukaryota; Metazoa; Arthropoda; Insecta; Hymenoptera; Scelionidae.